AGUGAACGCUGGCGGUAGGCCUAACACAUGCAAGUCGAACGGCAGCACAGUAAGAGCUUGCUCUUAUGGGUGGCGAGUGGCGGACGGGUGAGGAAUACAUCGGAAUCUACUUUUUCGUGGGGGAUAACGUAGGGAAACUUACGCUAAUACCGCAUACGACCUUCGGUGAAAGCAGGGACCUUCGGGCCUUGCGCGAUUGA
RNAcentral lists this ribosomal RNA (200 nucleotides) under uncultured bacterium. RNAcentral's name for it is "partial 16S ribosomal RNA". It matches the Rfam family "Bacterial small subunit ribosomal RNA", at positions 29 to 224 of the family's 1533-position model. The record is from RNAcentral.